AAACGACUCUCGGCAACGGAUAUCUCGGCUCAUGCAUCGAUGAAGAACGUAGCAAAAUGCGAUACUUGGUGUGAAUUGCAGAAUCCCGUGAACCAUCGAGUUUUUGAACGCAAGUUGCGCCCGAAGCCAUUCGGUCGAGGGCACGUCUGCCUGGGUGUCACGC
Molecule: ribosomal RNA, 163 nt
Filed under: Berylsimpsonia sp. Clase 7675
Lineage: Eukaryota; Viridiplantae; Streptophyta; Magnoliopsida; Asterales; Asteraceae
Description: 5.8S ribosomal RNA
Rfam family: 5.8S ribosomal RNA
About the family: 5.8S ribosomal RNA (5.8S rRNA) is a component of the large subunit of the eukaryotic ribosome. It is transcribed by RNA polymerase I as part of the 45S precursor that also contains 18S and 28S rRNA.
Source: RNAcentral